Molecule: long non-coding RNA, 1070 nt
Organism: Acinonyx jubatus (cheetah)
Lineage: Eukaryota; Metazoa; Chordata; Mammalia; Carnivora; Felidae
Exons: 3
Source: RefSeq, a predicted model, not a curated record
UGAUCAGGGGACUGUCUCUAUCACUUUCUCAUCUUUGGCAUAAAUUCCUGUCCACACACCUAGCUGACUUCAGGCUUCUAGAGAGGCCAGCGCUGAUUGGAUGAGGGUGAAUACCUGAUCGAGAAGUGGCCAAUCCACGAGCUGACCAAAAGCCUAGCACUUGUGCUGUUAGCAAAGUAAUGGUUUGUUUGCUGUGUUCUUGGACCAGAAAAUACUGUUUCCUAGAACUAGAAUUAGGACUGAGAAAAUAAACAAAGUUUGUGAGAAUUUGUUUGCUCCCCAGGGAGCUGACGUUUCUGAAAGAGCCUUUCCCAGGAUGCCUUGCAGGAAGGUGUAGCACCUGUGAGUAGCCAGCCUGGAGCUACCUGGAGGACCGGAUUUGGGAGUGAAUGAAUGUUGCUCAGGAGGAGUUCCUCAGGACUUCUUUUUCUUGAUAAGUAAUGGUAACUCAGCCACCAGCAGAAUCUAGCUGACACCCAGUUGAUGGUUGACCAGAAAUCCCAUACCUUUCUGCCGGCCGCCAUGGUACCCUGGAGCUGAAAAUGGGUGUUGAGAACACAGUCUCUCAGGAGGCUCUGAGAAGGGCUUGAGUGAAAUGGGUUUGCUGUGAUGUGACAGAUGGGCUCUGAGCGGCUGAGUCAAGACUGGGAAGCUCAGGCCUACCUGAUACUGGUACAUCUGGAUCUGCCCUUGAGGUCAGGCUUAGUGAUGGCCUGGUCGUGAUAGGCCUGCUUGGAAUGGGUUUAAAUAUUGGCUCUGGGGUGCCUGGGUGGCUCAGCUGGUUAAGCGUCUGACUCUUGGUCUUGGCUCAGGUGGUGAUCUCAUGGUUUGUGGGAUCAAGCUCCGCCUUGGACUCUGUGCUGACAGCAUGGAGCCUGCUUGGGAUUCUCUGUUUCCCUUUCUCUCUUCCCCUCCCCCACUUGUGUUCUCCCUCUCUCUCUUUCUCUCAAAAUGAAUAAAUAAACAUUAAAAAAAUAAAUAUUGGUUCCAAUUUUUUUGCAUGUUCCCUGUAGUCUUCAGAACUGCCUCUUAGGGUUGAUCUGGAUGGAGUCAGAAAACCCCACAGUGAA